GGUGAGUAACACGUGGGUAACCUGCCUGUAAGACUGGGAUAACUCCGGGAAACCGGGGCUAAUACCGGAUGGUUGUUUGAACCGCAUGGUUCAAAUAUAANAGGUGGCUUCGGCUACCACUUACAGAUGGACCCGCGGCGCAUUAGCUAGUUGGUGAGGUAACGGCUCACCAAGGCGACGAUGCGUAGCCGACCUGAGAGGGUGAUCGGCCACACUGGGACUGAGACACGGCCCAGACUCCUACGGGAGGCAGCAGUAGGGAAUCUUCCGCAAUGGACGAAAGUCUGACGGAGCAACGCCGCGUGAGUGAUGAAGGUUUUCGGAUCGUAAAGCUCUGUUGUUAGGGAAGAACAAGUACCGUUCGAAUAGGGCGGUACCUUGACGGUACCUAACCAGAAAGCCACGGCUAAAUACGUGCCAGCAGCCGCGGUAAUACGUAGGUGGCAAGCGUUGUCCGGAAUUAUUGGGCGUAAAGGGCUCGCAGGCGGUUUCUUAAGUCUGAUGUGAAAGCCCCCGGCUCAACCGGGGAGGGUCAUUGGAAACUGGGGAACUUGAGUGCANAANANGAGAGUGGAAUUCCACGUGUAGCGGUGAAAUGCGUANAGAUGUGGAGGAACACCAGUGGCGAAGGCGACUCUCUGGUCUGUAACUGACGCUGANGAGCGAAAGCGUGNGGAGCGAACAGGAUUANAUACCCUGGUAGUCCACGCC
Molecule: ribosomal RNA, 711 nt
Filed under: uncultured bacterium
Lineage: Bacteria
Description: bacterial SSU rRNA
Rfam family: Bacterial small subunit ribosomal RNA
Source: RNAcentral